Molecule: ribosomal RNA, 254 nt
Filed under: uncultured bacterium
Lineage: Bacteria
Description: partial 16S ribosomal RNA
Rfam family: Bacterial small subunit ribosomal RNA
Source: RNAcentral
UACGUAGGGACCGAGCGUUGUCCGGAUUCAUUGGGCGUAAAGAGCUCGUAGGCGGUGUGUCACGUCGUUCGUGAAAACCUGCAGCUUAACUGUGGGCGUGCGGUCGAUACGGGCAUCACUGGAGUUCGGCAGGGGAGACUGGAAUUCCUGGUGUAGCGGUGAAAUGCGCAGAUAUCAGGAGGAACACCGGUGGCGAAGGCGGGCCUCUGGGCCGAUACUGACGCUGAGGAGCGAAAGCGUGGGGAGCAAACAGG